GAAUGAAAAUGAAUUUUAAUAAUAAAAAAAAAAAAAAAGAAAAAAAAAAGAAUUUAUAUACAAUUAACAGUUUAACAUAUUCUCUUAAGAAAAUAUAGAAAUAUUUUAGAACGUCCGCGAAUCAUGUUCAUUCAGGACGAGUUCCUUUUGAAGACACACAACAACUCGUUAUUGUUAUGUAUGUCAAAUUCUUUAGGUACCUAGAAACGACCUUCUAGUUCCGAGUUCACUCCAAACUCAUAUAUCUAGGCCGUCUCAUGUAGUAACAAUAUGUAAACUUUCAUAAGAUACUCUAGUAUAGUAUAAUAAUCUCUUGCGAUUAUUAUCGAUCGUAUAAUUCUACUAAAGAUUAAUUAGAUAAAAAGUUCAAUUAUAAUGAUAUAAUGCAUUAGAAUGUCGAUUUGAAGAAAAGCGAAGAGCGUAGUAAUAGAAGUAGAAAUUUUGUUUUUCGCGCGUCGUACGACAGUCGCACGACGUCGAGAUAUCGAUCGUCGUCGGCUAGAAGCGUCCUAUGUUUCGGAGCAGUCGCACGCAGUCACAAGGUACCUGUCACAAUUGGAUAAUCUCUUAACGAAGAAGGUCGAAGUAUAGAAAUAAAAAGAGAAAGAUCAAGGGGAAAAGCUUCAUCAGAGCUUUCUGCAUACGAAAAACUAUUGUUAAGUGAGAACAUUUUGUAGAAAUUAAUUGAAUUCUUCUUAAAUUGCAACUCUGCAACUCCAUUCGAUCGCUCGGAAAAAGACCGAAUACAAAGAUGUGCGGUGGUUUUACGUGCUCGAAAAAUGCGCUGACAGCACUAAAUAUACUCUAUAUUGUCGUUGCAUUUAUUUUGAUUGGCGUCGCAGUUUAUGGAAGAGCAUCAGCUUUAGUUACUAAUCUUCCUAUAAUUGGUGGAAUUUUAGCGUGCGGAGUGAUACUUAUUCUCAUCUCCAUUCUCGGGCUAAUCGGUGCUGUAAAACAUCAUCAAGUUUUAUUGUUCUUUUACAUGCUUAUUUUGUUCCUUCUAUUUUUGAUUCAAUUCAGCAUUGCUUGCGCUUGUCUUGCAGUUAAUGCUAAACAACAAGAACAACUUGCAGAACAAGGAUGGAGACGAGUUGGAGAUGAUUUAAGAGCUAAAGUAGAAGAAACCUUCCAUUGCUGUGGAUUUAAUGACACUGUUAUUGAAAAAGAUCCCUUGGCAUGCCAUGAUAAAAAUAGAACUUGCUGUCCUUUCUCUGACCGUGAAUGCACUGACCGAUGUCCACUAUGUAUGCAAAAAUUGCAAUCUACAAUUGAUUAUGCCUUCAAACUUUGUGGUAGUAUAGGAUUAUUUUUCAGUUUUACAGAGUUUGUUGGUGUUUGGUUGACCGUGCGGUACAGGAACCAGAAAGAUCCGCGAGCUAAUCCUAGUGCUUUUCUCUAGUCUAACACCAUCGCCAUGUCCUCUAUCUCCUCAUACGACCCUCCUAAUAGAUGGUGAUCGCAGCUUUUGUAGCAAAGCAUUACAAAAAUCAGCUAGAUCCGCAGCAGAAAGCUGCAAGAGCUGCAUUUCCCCAACUAAAUUAUCUUUAUUAAUAUGAUUCACUUUUAUUUUCUUCGUAGAAAAGUGAUACUAGAUCCACGAAUAUUGGAUCUUGCUUUAUAUCCGUAAUCAAUAGAAAAUACAUGAUUAUCAUCUAAGAGCCAGAGAACAAAUUUUUAUGUAUUUGUUUAAAGAUGAGAUAAAAGAUUACCGUUUCUGAUUUAUAAUGCUCGAAAGAAUUCUACAAUAUUAUAAUAUGAGAAUGAACAAUUUUACAAAAUUAUUACGUCUAUAAAAUAUAUAUGUUGUAAUAAUUUACACAAAAUGCUCAAUACAAGCUUUAACACAUUGUGUGGCUUAAUGUUGGAUAUACUUGAUUAUAGAUACAUUUUCAUAAGCACCUUUUUGAUGAGACUACUGUGCAUUCCAUUUUUGUUCUAGUAUCAUAUUUCAUAUCUAUU
Vespa mandarinia (Asian giant hornet) is the source of this 1959-nucleotide unclassified non-coding RNA. The record is from RefSeq and is a predicted model, not a curated record. Lineage: Eukaryota; Metazoa; Arthropoda; Insecta; Hymenoptera; Vespidae.